Molecule: unclassified non-coding RNA, 206 nt
Filed under: Hevea brasiliensis (rubber tree)
Lineage: Eukaryota; Viridiplantae; Streptophyta; Magnoliopsida; Malpighiales; Euphorbiaceae
Source: RNAcentral
CUCUGAUACUACAGUUGCCGCUACAUUUUACUUUUUAUCUUUUAUUUUAUUUGAAAUAUGCUUUUAACUAAUGUAUCAACUUCGAUAUUCAUUCUGUAAUGGCUGUAAUAUUGGUCGGUGUAUUUUUAACUUCAUAAAAUGGUAGUUAGUUCUUCAUCAUAAAGUUGCUCUAAAUCUUGUGUCAUUGUUUUGCUGCUGUCUGGCUG